UACGUAGGUGGCGAGCGUUGUCCGGAUUUACUGGGCGUAAAGAGCGCGCAGGCGGUCGUUCAAGUCGAGUGUGAAAGCCCCCGGCUCAACUGGGGAGGGUCAUUCGAUACUGAUCGACUUGAAGGCAGGAGAGGGAAGUGGAAUUCCCGGUGUAGUGGUGAAAUGCGUAGAUAUCGGGAGGAACACCAGUGGCGAAGGCGACUUCCUGGCCUGUUCUUGACGCUGAGGCGCGAAAGCUAGGGGAGCAAACGGG
This 253-nucleotide ribosomal RNA is filed under the name uncultured bacterium. Its description in RNAcentral is "partial 16S ribosomal RNA". It matches the Rfam family "Bacterial small subunit ribosomal RNA", at positions 524 to 776 of the family's 1533-position model. The record is from RNAcentral.